This 504-nucleotide ribosomal RNA is filed under the name uncultured bacterium. Its description in RNAcentral is "bacterial SSU rRNA". It matches the Rfam family "Bacterial small subunit ribosomal RNA", at positions 791 to 1296 of the family's 1533-position model. The record is from RNAcentral.
UAGUCCACGCUGUAAACGAUGGAUACUAGGUGUAGGGGGUGUCGACUCCCCCUGUGCCGCAGCUAACGCAAUAAGUAUCCCACCUGGGGAGUACGACCGCAAGGUUGAAACUCAAAGGAAUUGACGGGGGCCCGCACAAGCAGUGGAGUAUGUGGUUUAAUUCGAAGCAACGCGAAGAACCUUACCAGGGCUUGACAUACUGAUGACCGGUCUAGAGAUAGGCCUUUCCUUCGGGACAUCAGAUACAGGUGGUGCAUGGUUGUCGUCAGCUCGUGUCGUGAGAUGUUGGGUUAAGUCCCGCAACGAGCGCAACCCCUAUUGUUAGUUGCCAUCAUUAAGUUGGGCACUCUAGCGAGACUGCCGGUGAUAAAUCGGAGGAAGGUGGGGAUGACGUCAAAUCAUCAUGCCCCUUAUGUCCUGGGCUACACACGUACUACAAUGGCUAAUACAGCGCGAAGCAAUACUGUGAAGUGGAGCGAAUCGCGAAAAUUAGUCUCAGUUCGG